This is an RNA transcript of Loxodonta africana (African savanna elephant), 9947 nucleotides long. RefSeq lists it as uncharacterized. The record is from RefSeq and is a predicted model, not a curated record. Lineage: Eukaryota; Metazoa; Chordata; Mammalia; Proboscidea; Elephantidae. The transcript has 4 exons.
CAGGAGGGGAAGAGGAGGAUACUGGGAACUGUAGUAGAUCUCAGCACAGCACAGAGAACGGUGACACCCUUAUAGGGUGCCCCACGAGGGUAUUGUGGGAGUUGUAGUCCAUUUCUAACCGGAGACUGAGCAAAUGGCAGAUAAGGGGGCGGGACUUUCUGGACGACUAGAAUCAUGGGAAGAGAUUAGUGGCAUGAGACGCCUACCUGGGAAAGGCACGAACCCAAGACCAAACCAAACCUCUUGUCGUGGAGUCGAUUCGGAUUGAUAGCGACCCUGUAGGACAGAGUAGAACUGCCCCAUAGAGUUUCCAAGGAGCGCCUGGUGGAUCCGAACUGCGGACGUUUUGGUUAGCAGCUGUAGCUCUUAACCACUACACCACCAGGAUUUCCGGAAGAGGCACCAGAACACGAUAAUGUGGGAAUUGUAGUUUUAUCCCAUACACCCAAUUGUUCAUUUUUGUAUUUUCAGCGCUUUGAACAGUGCCUGGCACGUGGUAGACACGUAAGUACUUGUCAAAGCCUGACUUAAGGUAGGCACUCAAAUGCUUGUCAAAAGAAUGGAUGAAUUGCAUUCUACUCCUGUAGAAUUCUUUGACCCUGUCAUCCAUCAUCCUCUCUCCCCUUAGACUAGUACCGAAUUGAACAUUACCCAGGUGUUUUAAGGUUUUAAAAUAUGUUUAAAUGCUGUUAAUAGAAAAACUUUUCAAGCAAUUUAGUUAUGACCGCUUAUCAAGAUUACGAAAAUUUCCUGCAAAGGAAAAGGACUGUAUCAGGCCAAUUUGAAGAUUUACUCUUGGCCUAGAGGCCUUGGUUCCAAAGGGAGGAAUGUGCCCAUCAGGAGACACAACACUGAUUCCAUUGAACUGAAAGUUAAGAAUGCCAGCCAGCCACUUUGGGCUCCUCAGCCUCUGGAUUAACAAGCAAAGAAGGGAGUUACCAUAUUGGCUGUUGUGAUUGAUCCUGAUUAUCAAAGGGAAAUAGGAUUGAUGCCACAUAAUGAAGGUAAGAAGAGUAUGCAUGGAAUACAGGAGAUCUCCUAGGAUGUUUCUUUGUACUACCAUGACCUGUGAUUAAAGUCAAUGGAAAACUACAGCAACCCAACUCCAACAUGAGUAUUAAUGGCCCAGACCUUCAGGAAUGAAGGUUUGAGUCAUUCAACCAGGCAAAGAACCAUGACCAGCUGAGGUGUUUGCUGAGGGCAGAAGGAAUACGGAAUGAAUGGUGGGUGGAAGAAAGUAGUUCUAUGUUACCAGCUAUGAGCACAUGACCAGUUGCAGAAAUGAGGACUGUAAUUGUUUUUUGUAUUUCUUGCUUGUUUUGUAUGGGUACCUAUGUAUAUGUAAAUAUGUGUGUGCAUGCAUGCAUAUAUAUGUAUAUAUGUGUGUGUAUGUACGUAUGCGUGUGUGUGUAUAUAUAUAUAUAUAGCAACUAUCUUUGUUUUCGUCCCUCCCUUAUUUUAUUACUUAUUAUAAAAUAGAAUACGUAAACUGGGUUUGUGCAUUUUUGGUGGUAUGCAUGUUAUUUGUAUCACGUUAGGCACAAGUAUGACUUUGUAAUUGUCUUUAUUUAGAGAUCAUGUAUGGUUUAAGGAGAUGUGUACCGGUGCCAGGUUGACAAGGGGUAGACUGUGAUGGUUAAGGUUGUGUGUCAACUUGGCUGGACCAUGAUUCUCAGUGGUUUGGCAGUUAUGUAAUGAUGUAGUCUGGCAGUUAUAUAAUGAUGUAAUUUGGCAGUUAUGUAAUGAUGUAAUCACUUUCCAUUUUGUGAUCAGAUGUAGUCAUCCCCAUUUUGUGAUGUGAUGUGAGCAGCCAAUCAGUUGAAAAGGGAAUUUCCUUGGGGGUGUGGCCUGCAUCCAGUAUAUACGGAUGUUCUAGCAAAGUUCGCUUUUUCUGGAUCCUGCAUCUGACUUGUCAUAGUCUGAUCUGUGCUUCCUGCUGUCUGAUCUGCAGAUUUUGGGAUUUGCCAGCUCCCACAGCCCAUAAUCCAACAGUCUGCUGUCGGACCUGCCAGUUUUGGGUUUGUCAGCCCCUGCAAGCCUCCAGCCUGAUGCCAGACCCACAGAUUUGGGACUUAACCAGUCUCCACAACUCUUUCUUGGAACAUGAGCCAGCAGCCUGCCGUCUGAUGUGCAGAUUUUGGGUUUGUCAGCCCUGCAACUACAUGAGUCAGUCGAGAAGCCUCCAGCCUGACAUCUGACCCACGGAUUUAUGACCUGCUAGCCUCUACAGCUGUAGCAGAGAGAGGAUCUUACCGCCACAAAGGAAGAACAGCCAGGAGUGGAGAUCGCGUCAUUUGGACCUGGGAUCCCUGCAUGCAGAAGCUCCUGGAACCAGGAGAUCGAGAGAGAGAGCAAGCUGUAACUCUGAAGACAGUGAGAAGUGGUGGCAGGAGAGACCAGCCAGAGACUGUGCAUUGGGCUUCCUGGCCCACAGAGUGAGAAAGGUGAGUGCCUGGGGUGCCUCUGGGUACUUAUUUCUAUUAUUCUUUUCUCCACAGCCCUCAGACUUAGUCCCACAAUUCUGUGGUCUCCCCAGUAACCUUGCCAGAGGUUUCCUCAUAGAAAAUAUGUGAGGGCAUCUCUGCAUCCCUGAUUGAGUAGAUUCCAAAAUCACAGUGACCCUAUAGACAGAGCAGAACUGCCCCAUAGGGUUUCCACGGAGCAGCUAGUGGAUUCGAACUGCUGACCUUUUGGUUAACAGCCAAGCUAUUAACCACUACACCACAAGAGCUCUGGGGACUUAUUGACAGGGUCUAAAGGAGUUUUGUAACACUUGCCUGAGCAGGGCAGAGGCCUAGGGCCAGAGAGAGGUGUCUGUGAGCACAGCUGUCCUGAUGGAAGAAGUGUAUCCCGAGUGUUCCUGAACCUGAAUUAUAACCUAUUCCUUCCCUAAUAAACCCCAUAAUUAUGAAUAUUGACUGUGUGUUCUGUUUGGCCGUUGCAAUGAAUUAUUGAACCCAGUAGAGAGUGCUGUGGGAGGGACAGUUGGUGUCAGAGUUGGUAAAGAUGGCAGAGUGAGGAGGCAUACCUAACCUUCACCUCAUAAGAAUCAGCCUUGGGUGGUUGAUCUUGAUUCUCAUCCCUCCUUGUGAAGUUAGAGGAGGUCAGACAUUGCCCCUACUCCAGUUUUACAGCUUGCUUUCCCUCUUAUGCUUUUGAACAGUUUAAUAGCAUUGGCAGCACGGUGAUUAAAAGCUCAGGCUGCUAAACAAAAAGUUGGCAGUUCAAAUCCACCAGCUGCUCCUUGGAAACUCUAUGGUGCAGUUCUAAUCUAUCCUAUAGGGUCGCUAUGAAUCAGAGUCCACUCAAUGGCAAUGGGUUUGUUUUUUUUUAAUAACAUUGGAACUAUCAAGUGAGUAAAUUAUAAAGCUACAGUGUCCGGUACUUGGACAGAUUGGCCCUUAUCCUCCCUCGAAUCAAAUGACAGUUUGUAGGGUGACCUCUCAGCAGACUUGUUGCCAGCCUUGUGAGCUAUAGUCUCAGCAGGCACAGAAGUAAUGUUGAAUGAAAGAUGUAAAAUUUACUUUCUGGAAGCUUCAGGGAGCCGGAAAAGGAGGAGAAGGAAAAGGGAUAGGAGGAGGAGGAAGUUAAUUGUGUUGUUUGGACAAGAAUUUAGUUGAACAAAUACGUUUCCCUUUAGCCCACCACAAGACAGGCAGGCCUGAUUAAAUAGGACAAAGGAAAAGGAAUUUCUAUUAUUCUUUUCUCCACAGCCCUCAGACUUAGUCCCACAAUUCUGUGGUCUCCCCAGUAACCUUGCCAAAGGUUUCCCCGUAGAAAAUAUGUGAGGGCAUCUCUGCAUCCCUGAAACAAGGUCUGGAGUUGUCACUUGCUGACAAAUGGCUAAACACUGUUGACUUAGUGGCUUGCUGGUUCCUUUUUUUUUUUUGAUGAAGGUGGUGGUGUUUGAUUCACUAUUCGGCUUGAUUUGGCUCAUUCAAGACCCAGUGGCUUUUUGCAGUAUAUCUACUACCUAGGGAAGUGCUGGGGUGGUAGGGUCUAGAAAAAAAAGUUCAGUAUAUUACAAAUGAGAAACUUCUGGCUAUGUCUGCAAACAGAAGUGGCUGCCUACAGAGGCUUGACUGUACCAUCAGACAGCCGCUGAACAAGAAGACUGGGUGACUCCCAUGAUUCUCCAAGUCCACAAUUCUCUGAAAUGGGAAGGUUUUGAAGACGUUAUCAUCUUUAAAAUGGGCUUUGAACUAGAUCAUCUCUACAUUCCUCUUUAACUGUCGUAGUUAAUGAGUUGGUAUAGCUCAGAGACUAAGAGCAUAUACUGUAGAUUCAGAAAGAUAAUAGCGUGAAUCCCAUUUCUGGUUGAAUUAACUAUAUGAUGUUGGUCAAAUUACUGAACCCCACUGAGCUUCAGCUUAUAUAUAAAAUGGGAACAAUCACAGAAUCUAUCUUAUAAGGCUGAUGUGAAAACAAAAUGAGAUAUUGGGCAUAAGCUUCAGGCAUGGUGUCUGGAUCUUAGAAAGGAUACCAUUAUUAUUGUUGUUCUUCUUAUUAUUUUGUAAACCUUCUCAAACUGAUACUUAAGUCACUAAGUUAACAGCCCUUAGAGCGAUACUGGUAAAAUUCAGGUCUGUAUCUGAGUUAGAUAGUAGCUGAGAAUUUGCUUAAACCAUUCAGCCUGAUGGUCAGUAGGACUCUUCUUUGCUUCCAAAUCUUUUGUCUUAGGGAAAUCUUCAUGGAUGCCUAAGACCUGUCCUCAGAAAGUAUAUGGAUGGUUUUGGAUAGAGAGACUAGACUCCAAGUAGGAAAAUCUGGUUGCUGUUUCUGAUUGGUCAUCAGGGGAACAGAGGCCAUGUUGGUGGAUUCACCAUCUCCCUGUACCAUUUUUUCUUAAAAUUGUGCUUUAGUUGAAGGUUUACAGAACAAAUUAAUUUCUCAUUAAGCAAUUAAUACACAAAUUGUUUUGUGAUGUUGUUUGCCAACCCCAUCACUUGUCAACACUCUCCCCUUCUUGACUUUGGGUUCCCCAUUACCAGCUUUCCUGUCCCCUUCUGCCUUCUCAUCCUUACCCCUGGGCUGGUGUGCCCACUUAGUCUCAUUUUGUUUUAUGGGCCUGUCUAAUCUGUGGCUGAAGGGUGAACCUCAGGAGUGACUUGCCCUAGCUAGGAUUUCCAGUACAAUAUUAAAUAGGAGUGGUGAUAAAGACAUCUUUGCCUUAUUUCUGUUCUCAGGGGGAGUGUUUUCAGCUUCUCUCCAUUAAAAAGAUGUUGGCUGCUGGUUUUUUAUAGAUACCUUUUGUUAUAUUGAAGAAUUUCCCUUCUAUACCUAUUUUAUUGAGAGUUUUUAUCAGGAAUGGGUGUUGGACUUUAUUGAAUGCCUUUUCUGCAUCGAUUGAGAUGAUCAUGUGAUUCUUUUCUUUUGUUCUAUUUAUGUGGUGGAUUACUUUGAUUUUCUAGUGUCGAACCAUUCUUGCAUACCUGGUGUGAAUCCCACUUGGUUGGGGUGUAUUUUUUUUUUUUUAAUGUGAUUCUGAAUUCUAUUGGCUAGAAUUUUGUUGAGAAUUUUUGCACCUCUAUUCAUGAGAGAUAUGGGUUUGUAAUUUUCUUUUUUUGUGGUAUCUUUGUCUUGUUUUGGUAUCAGGGUUAUGCUGGCUUCAUAUAAUGAAUUUGGAAGUAUCCCUUCACUUUCUAUGUUCUGAAAUAGUGUGAGCUUUUUUCUGAAUGUUUGGUAAAAUUCUCCAGUGAAGUCAUCUGGGUAAGGGCUUUUUAUUGUUGAGAGAUUUUUUUUUUUAAUUACCUUUUCAAUCUCUUCUCUUGGUAUGACUCUGUUCAGGUUGUUUACUUAAGUUUGUGUUAGUUUAGUAGAUAGUGUGCUUCUAGAAGUGUGUCCAUUUCCUCUAGGUUUUCAGAUUUCUUGGAGUAUAGUUUUUUGUAGUACUCUGUUAUGAUCCUUUUUAUUUCAGCUGGAUCUGUUGCAAUGUCUACCAUUUUAUUUCUUAUUUGCUUCCUCUCCUGUUUUUCUUUUGUCAGUUUGGCCAGUGGUUUCUCGAUUUUGUUGAUCCUUUCAAAGAACCAACUUUUGGUUUUGUUGAUUCUAUUUUCUAGUCUCUAUAUUUCAUUUAUUUCUGCUCUGAUCUUUAUUAUUUCCUUUCUUCUGGUAGUUGUGGACUACUUUUGCUAUUCUGUUUUUGUUUGAGUUGUUUAGCUAAUGUUUUGAUUUUGUACCUUUCCUCUUUUUUGAUGUGUGCAUCUAUUGCUAUAAAUUGACCUCUGAGGACUGCCUUUGCUGUAUGAUGUGUUUUCAUUCUCAUUUGAUUCUAGGCAUUUUUUUUAUCCCAUCUUUGAUUUCUUCUAUUCCCCAGUGAUUUUUAAGCAAGGUGUCAUUCAGUUUCUAUGUAUUUGAUUUUUUUCCCUUGAUUUUCCUUUUAUUAAUUUCUACUUUUAUGGCAUUGUGAUUGAAGAAGAUGUUUUGUAUUAUCUCAGUGUUUUGGAUUUUGUUGAGGGUUGCUUUGUGAUCUAAGAUGUGGUCUGUUUGGGAGAAUGUUCCAUGUGCAUUGGAAAAGAAUGCAUACUCUGCUGCUGUUGGGUGGAAUAUUCUAUAUAUGCCUAUGAGGUCAGGUUGGUUAAUUGUGGCCUUUAGAUCUUCUGUAUCUUUGUUGAGUUUCUUUCUUGGUGUUCUAUCCUUUACCAAGAGUGGUGUGUCGAAGUCUCCAGCUAUUAUUGUGGAGCUGUUGAUUUCUCUUUUUAGUGCUGUUAGAGUUUGUUUUAUGAAUUUUGCAGCCCUGUAAUUGGGUGUGUCGAUAUUUAUUAUGGCUAUAUCCUCAUGGUGGAUUGUCCCUUUAAUCAUUAUAUAACAUCCUGCUUUGUCUUUUAUAGUGGGUUUUGUUUUAAAGUCUAUUUUAUCUGAGAUUAGUAUUACCACUCCUGCUCUCUUUUGGUAACUGUUUGCUUGAUAUAUUUUUCCAUUUUUAUAUUUUUAAUAUGUUUAUUUCUUUGCUUCUAAGAUGUGUCUCUUGUAGACAGCAUAUUGAUGAGUCCUCUUUUUUUUUAAUCCAUUCUGUCACUCUCUGACUUUUUAUGAGUGCAUUUAAGCCAUUUAUGUUCAGCGUUGAUUAUUGAUAGGUGUGAGUUCAUUGCUGUCAUUUUGAGUGCUUUUUUUUGUGGUGUUGACAUUUUCAUUGCUCCUUGUUCUCUCCUGUAUUGAAUUCCUUUUGUUUGUGGGUUUUUUUCAUUGCUUUUGUCUUUGUAGAUUUUGUUUUUACUGAGGCUUUGUGUUUUUCUUCUUUAUUUUGAUGAGUACGUUUGUUAACUUUCUUUUUGGUUACCUGGACAUUUACCCCAUCUUCCUAAAUUUAAACCAGGCUUUUAUUUCUUGAUAUUACCUUGACUUCUUCUUCCUUUGAAAGCUCUAUACCUACACUGUUUAUUCCCUCUUUUAUUGUUCUGAUGUUUUUCUGAUUUACAGAUUGACCUCUCUGGUUCCCUGUUGUAAAUCUUUUAGUUUUGUUUUAUCCUUGAGAAUUCAUUACCUAGGUUGGUAUCUGGCCAAUGUUGUCCUGUGUCCUAGAUUCAAGUUGUUGUCUGGUGUUAGUUCUCUAACCAAAGGACUCCUUUUAAUAGUCCUUGUAAAUUUGAUUUGGUUUUAACAUAUCCUCUUAAUUUCUGUUUAUCUGGAAAUGUCCUAAUUUCGCUAUCAUAUUUGAGCAAGAGUUUUACGGGAUAUAUUAUUCUUGAUUGACAUUUUUUUUUCUUUCAAGGUUUUAUAUAUGUCAUCCCAUUGCCUUCUUGCCUGCAUGGUUUCUGCUGAGUAAUCAGAGUUUAGUCUUAUUGUUUCCCCUCUGUAUGUGACUUUUUAUUUUUCUUGAGCUGCUCUCAGGAUCCUUUCUUUGUCUUUGGUUUUAGUGAGUAAUGUUAUGUCUUGGUGAUUUUCUUUUGGUGUCUGUCCUGUGUGGUGUUCGUUGAGCUUCUUGGAUGGUCAGCUUUUCAUCUUUCGUGAUAUUAGGGAAGUUUUCUGACAGCAAAUCUUCAAUGAUCUUCUCUGUGUUUUGUUUUCUCUCCCUGUUUUGGAACUCCGAUCACAUGCAGAUUUUUGCUUUUGAUUGUAUCCCAGUCUUUCUCAGUGUUUCUUCAUUCUUUCCUCUUUUCUCUGAUUUUUCCUCAAAGUGGUAUCCAAGGAAUUGUCUUUGAUUUCGCUGAUCCUGUCUUCCAUUGUUUCAAAUUUGCUUCUAAAACUUUUUAUUGCACUGUCAUUUCUGAAAUCUUGUUGUUUAUCUUUUGGCUUUCUAAUUGCUUUUCUUGUAUGAUUUCUAGUUGUUUAUUGUAUUAAAUUCCUGUAUUAUUUUCCUGAAUUCUUCCAUUGCUUUGUGUUUUCUGUGAUUUUGUCUGUAUUUUCCAUGGUUUUGUCUAUUUUUUCCUUAUUUUUGUCUGCAUUUUCCUUCAUCCCUUGGAGUGCACUGAAUAUUAAAGUUCUGAAUUCCCUAUCAGGUAGUUCCAGUGCCUUUUCUUUGACUGGAAGGUCAUCUGGUGUUUUAUUUUGGUAGCUUUCUAGAGCCAUCUUGUCCUUUUUUUAAAUACGAUUUUUGAUAUUGUCUGCUGCCUCUGGGACAUUCAGGAAUUAUUUUCUUCAUUUAUUGACCGUAGAUUUGUUUGUUUCUUUCUGCUUUAUUGUUUUAUUUGGUUUUGUCUGGCAGGUGGGCUGGGCGUGCUUUGUUGCACACUCACCUGUGGGCGCAAUACUUCUCACCACCUUGCCUAUGUGGACAGGGCCAGUUGCUCAGCUAUAGUGCAACAAGGCAGGUCCAGCGCAGGGGAGGGUUUGGGAUGGGUUGUUUGUGACAUGUACUGGGGUCGAUGGGGCGGGUCCAUGGCAGUGCAGGGCAGGAUCCAGUGGUUUAUGCUGCUUCUGCUCUGGGGCAUGGCACUUGCACGUGAUGCAGGUAGGCAGAGGGGAGGGAGAGCAUCUGAUGCUUGGAACUAAGUGGGUGAGAAAAAGAAGGAAAAAAAGGUGAUAAAUGGUGGCUUGGUAGGAUUCGGCAGGUGGUGGGGCAGACCUAUAGAGGCCGUGUACCAGUUGCUGUCUAGCUGAGCAGUGCAGCUCAGCCUGUUGAGAAGGGGCAUGAGUGGCACACAGGGCUAGGUGGGCAGGAGAAAGGAAAGUAAAGAGGAGAAACAACAAACAAAACAACAAUGACAAAAAAUGAGUACGGUGCUGGGGCAGCUGACCAUUUGUGGCAGGGCAGAAUUGGGUUGGUGGCGAGCUGAUAUCUCUCUCACUGGGUGCCACAGCACAGCCCAUCAGGAAGGGGCAGAGGCAGCUCAGGGCCUAGGUGGGAGGGUGAAGGAAAAGGGAGAGGAGUAAAGAUAAAGAAAAAUAAAAAAUAUGGUGCUGAGGGAGCCAGCAUGUUGUGGCAGUGCAGACCUGGGAAGGUCAUGUGCCAGAGGCUCUCUAGCCAAGCAAUAUAGCACAGCCUGUUGAGAAGGGGAGAGGGUGGCUCAUGGGGCUACGUGAGUGGGAGAAAGGAAAGGAAGGAAGGAGUGUGAGAGAAGAAACAACAACAACAAAAAGAAGGGAAAAAGCAAAAGCAAACAGCAACAACAAAAAAAAAAGGCGCUGAGAGAGCCUGCUGGUGGGGGCAACACAGACCCAGGGAGGCCGCGUGCUGGUGGCUCCCUAGGCAAGCAGUGUGGCACAGCCUGUCAAGAAGGGUUGGGGGAUGUCACACGUGGCUAGCUUGGCAGGAGAAAGGAAAGGAAGGAUGGAAGAGAUAUAGAAGAAACUGAAAGAAAAAAAAAUGACACUGAAGGAGCCUGCCAGUGGGGGCAGCAUGGACCAAGGGAGGCCAUGUGCUGGUGGCUCUCUAGCAGAGUGGUGUGACACAGCCCGUCAGGAAGGGGUGGGAAUGACACAUGGGCCAGGUGUGAAGGAGAAGGGAAAGGAGAGAAACAGAAGAAACCAGAAAAAAAAAAAAAAAAAGGCACUGAGGGAGCUCACCC